Molecule: long non-coding RNA, 9021 nt
Organism: Amphiprion ocellaris (clown anemonefish)
Lineage: Eukaryota; Metazoa; Chordata; Actinopteri; Pomacentridae
Exons: 5
Source: RefSeq, a predicted model, not a curated record
UUCACAUAGAUUUUUUUUCCCUCACAUCUGAAAUGUAUUUUUCUUCCUUUCCUCAGAUAAACACAAGAUACUGUUCAUUCAAGGCAGCUUCGGGGAAUUUGGUGAAGAUGCAACACUCACGGAUUCGCCUCUGUCGGCACAACAACAGGACGCUGAGCGCCAUGGCGACGGUCAACAGGACGACACACACGGCACCAGUGAUGGAGGCCAGCAGCACACACUGACUGGACUUUCCUGCAGACACAUCGAGCAUACAGGCGCAGUAGAAACCUUAAAGAAUAUCUGGAUAUCUGGAUUUCAUCUCACAUGAAAAACUCUUGCACACAGGACACCUCCACUCCUGCAGACCAGCUCUCUGCAGGAACAUGAACCUGUUGGCUGAUGACGACCGCCUGGCUGACGGGGAGGAUGGUGGGACUGAGCUGCUGGAUGCCAUCAGCCCCAACCACCUCCCAGUCCACCGUGACCUGAUCAGGGUCCUUCACUCCAGACACCAGACAGGUCAACGGGAUGGGGAGGAACGAGUUGACGUCUGAGGGGACCAGGAGCUCGACUGCAGGACUUUGGAGCUGCGACUCUGAUGAGAAAGUCCACAGUUUUUUGAUUUCAACUUAAACCAGACUCUAAAGUUGUUAGUCUAUUAAGUUACAGAUUACGCUCUUGCAGAGAGGAACAGAAGUUCACCUUUGGAGGAUGGAGGAGCUGUUGGACGCAAAAGACUUUUCAACAAGCAGGAGUCCGUUGAUGUAGACGCAGUAAUGCCUGCCGACGUCCUGCAGGGUGGCCUUGGAGAUCUCCAGCCGACACACCUUCCCUCUAUCAGCUCCAGACACAACGCUUGAGACUCUGAGGUUGCUCACCUGUCCGACGUGCAGCCACGCCACCUCAGAGCACCGCCCACCUGUCUCAGUGACGUCACACUGGAGGUUCACUUUUGAUCCAGCCGGCACUGAUAGAAAAGGUGGAGUCUGAACCAGCAGAGCUCCAGCUGUGACUGCAGGCCCAGAUGGAGGAAGACUGGUUUUAUUACUGGGUCAGUACUGUUACCCCUCCGAUUUUGUUCAGAAUUUACAUAUUUGUUAUUUUGGACUCAGCCAAAUUAUGUACAAUAUUUUUGGCAGAAUUUUGAGAAUUUCAUAUGUUGUCAGACCUGGGAGGUUUCUGUAUUUUCACCUUCAGAAAAUACCCAGAAAGCCAUUUUAUAGGCUUAGAAGUCCCACAGUAAAGAAAUUCAGUGACAACAUGGACAAAAUAGUUUCCAGCAAACCCAAAUGAUGAAAUAGCUCCAUUUCAGGUCAGAUUUUUGAGUACUGGCCCUUCAAUUUGGAAAAAAAAGUGCAAAAUUCUAGCGUAAGACUUUGAGCAAAGAAAUUUCAGUUUGAGUUAUAUCUCAUUUUGACUUUUGUUUUACAUUCAGUUUUCCAUCACUAUUCAGCUAGGUUAAGGAACCAAAACUACCAAAAGCAUGCCACUAAGCUUAGCCACCAAAACUACACAUUUAUUCUUAGGUGCAACAAUUACUAAGUUAUAGGCACCAAAACUACUUGAUUAGGUUUAGGUGCAAAAAAUUACAUCAUUAAGUUUGAGCACCAAUAACUUGAUUAAAAAUAGCUCCAGUGGAGGCAACAUUUUAAAUUAUUGGCCCUUGAAAAUGUUCCACGAAGGUUGUAUUCUGGCCUCAGAAAGUUCCCUUAACUGUAUAUAUACUGUAUAUGGAUGGAACCAUAUUUCCUACUAAACAUACAGUCUUUGGUCAACAUUUCACCAACUUUUAAGGCCCCUAUAUUCAGUAGAAUUUGAUGUGUUGCUUUUAUGACAAGUCAAGGUUCCAGCUUUUUGCUAUGUUGGCUUAAAACCUGUCUAAGAUGACUUUAAACUUUUCAAAACUUACAGAAUAUUUUUAAGAAAAAUGACUCAAAAUUAUGAAUUAAAAAAAGAUCCAAAGUAACACAAAUUGUAAAAAAUGACUCAAGAUACUAGUCUUUGGUCGACCUUUCAGCAACUUUUGAGGCCUCUAACAUCAGUAGAAUUUCAUGUGUGGCAAGUACAGCAGGACAGGUUUCCAGUUUUUUGCUACUGUGACAAAAUGAUGAUAUGGACUCAUUAAUUGAAGACAAAUAUUAAUGUGCGUAAGGGUCUAUAUAUCUUCAUUGUAUGUGCAAAGUUACAAGCUGCCAAUGGCUGUCUUCAUGAUUAAAUUUAACAGCACAGGAAGCUUAGUUUACCUUAAAUGUUCCAAUACUUAUAAAUAACCUAUAUGUGACAUAUUUAUGACAGCCAAGUCUGUCUUGUAAAUAAGUCAUGGAAAAUGAGAACCAUGUGAGCUUUGUUUUUGUCUUAAUCAGCAAAAAAGCGUUGUAGCCUGAUAUGUUUGAGCUGAUUUGCUUUUUUGACAUUUCACUUCUUGCUGAAUAUAUAUCAUGCAGCCCAAAUCCACACAAUACUGACCAGUAUAUGCACCAACUCAAGAAGACAAACAAAAUAUACAUUUAUGAUCUAGUAAUCAUGUAUACAAGCCAAACUACAUACACAGAUAUUACAUAAUUGCUCCACUAUAUCAAAUAUACCCCACUGGACUGAUCAAGUCUUUUGUCCAGAAGUACAAGAAGUUCCAGUUGGAAAAAUAUGUAUAAUUAAUAGACAUAGCUUAUAUUUUAUGAUGCGAAAAUCUGAGCUUUUUGAACAUCUUACCACAGAGCGCGCUCACACAGAUCAGAAGCAGUAGAUUCAUGUUGCUCAGCAGACGAUCAGUUGACAGGAUGACGCUGUGAUGGUGAUUUCAAUUUAAAGGUCACCGCAGCAGUUCCCCCGCCUCCAGACACACAGCGACAGGACGUGUUAUCACUGUACACCAGCUUCAAGUCUUCAAAGAGGACCACAAAAAUAUACAACUGCAGCAAUAUUAGACCUUUGAUUGUUCUGUUUUGACUCCAGUAGCAGCUUUUUAGCUCAGAAAAGAUGGUGGCCUGCUUUUAGACAGAAAAAAUCCACAAAGACUUGAGACAUAACAAUUUAACCCACACUGCCAUCUUUCUCUAAACCACAGACAUGAACUUCAGCCUCUUGUGUCACAGUCUUGAACUUCACGUACCCUCCAUCCACCCCGACCUCCGCCUCCUCCCUCCUGGAUGAAUUCUUUAGUGUAGAAUUUCAUUUCUUCCAUUAAUUCAAAAAUAAAUAAAUUUUAAAAAUGCCUCUAAAAGUAAUCCAGCCAGAAAUUAGGCUGCACUUUAAAAAAAAAAGCCCAUAUUCUGCAUAUUUACAGAUUCAUGCUUUUAUUUCUAGGGUUUAUUACAACAUGUUUACAUGCUUUAAUGUGCAAAAACACCUUAUUUCUCUCAUACUACGUUGUGCUGCAAAUAUUACUGUCUUAAAUGCUUGAUUAGAUAUUUAGUAGACAAAAUUCUGUGUUUCUGAAAGCCCAAGAUCACAGCUAGCUUUGUCCAAAGACCUUUAGUUUACUGUCAUAAAAGAGGACAAUAAACAGAAAAUAUUUACAUUGAAAAAAUAAAAAGAGACCAUUUAGAAGCUAAAAGCUAUUAAAAUAUGCAGAUGUUUCCUUCUGCCAUUCUUCAAGCCCCCAUCUUUUUAAAGCGAGAAUUUAUGCUAUGUACCACUUAACCAACCACAAUCCAAGCUAGUAUUAGCAUUAGCCUCAACACUAGGAAAAUCCUUAGUGUUAGCAUGUUGUGCAGCUAAUGUUAGCACUAGCUGCACAACAAUAGGAAAUUUCAUACUUUUAACAUGUUGUGCAGCUAAUAUAGCUAGCAUUAGUAUUAGCCACAUCAAAAGAAAAAAAUGCUCAGGUUUAUCAUGUUUUUGGCUAAUGUGGCUAAUAUUAGCUUUGGUGGUAUUCCCACAGGUCAGAGCUCUGUAAAAAGUGUAACACUGAAGGACAUCCAGAGUUGGUGGAAACUUUAAUUUAAACCAGUAAACAAGGACUAGGUGGGUGACCGUGUUUUCAUGUCAUCCGUUGUGCUUCAGUUCACCCUAAACUCAGCUGCUGUUUACAUUUGUUAGCUUCUCUUCUGCUCUCUGUGCUCACAUAAUCUGCAUUUUAAUACUCUGAAUUGACAAUACAGCUGUUCUCAUUUACAGAUUUUUGUAUUUCUGUUGUUAGACAGCAGAACGAGGAUGAAAUAGUAUUAGAUGUGUUGUACAUUAUUAUAGUCAUUGAUGGGAUUGUAAUGAUUAUUGCAGGAACAAUAGAGGUGUACUACUUGUCAUCACAGCUUUAAAUAUCCUUAAAGAGGUUUCAUUAGUUCUUUAAAAGAUGCUGAUGGUGAAUGAGUCAGGGAAUCAGGAGGACUCUAUGGUUUCUUUAUGGUCACUUUAGGUUGUUUAGGUGGUCACAAAAACACCCUGAAACAGUUCAGAAGCAGAAGUUUUCUUUUCCAACCAAAGGUUUAGGUUUUUGGUAAAGCAGACUAGUAGCGAUAAGCCGGUUCACUGUAUGCCUGGUAGGGGUUCUGGUCGUCAGGAUGGUAGGCUGGGUGGUUGGGACCUACAACGUUUGCGUUGUUGAUGUCUACGUAACCACCAUCAGGCUCUACGUAGGCAUAGUUCUCCUCUCCAUAGUCCACGUCAUCGUUAGGGGUGUAGUCAACCAGCAAACUGGAUCUUUUCAAAGCCGAUUUUUUACCAAAUGCGCGAUACAGGUGCACAACGACGGCGAACUGAAGAAUCUGGAGAAGACAGUCGCAGUUUAACCACAGAAUAAAUUAGUGUUGGACAGGAAGCAAUGAACACGGGGUUUAGAAAAUCUCAAGCUACAUGUUUGAUAAACUGAGUCAGAUUCCAACUUUAUUACCUGGAUCAAGAUGAGGCUGAAGUCUAUGACGAUGAUGGUCACUGCGUUCUCCUGCAGCCAAUCAGUGAGCUUCUGACUGCAACCCUGAAACGACAAACACAUCAUCCUGAUAGACAAAGAGCACACAGACAGCAUGGAGUCAAAUAAACAUUACAUUAACAUAGAGGACUUUAUGGCUCCUGCACGUAUAACAGACUCUCAGUAGAGCACAACACUGUGGGACAGUAGCGUCCUGGUCAAUCACUUGGUCAUUACGCUCUUAAGCGACCACAUUUCAUUGGUUCUACAAUCCCUGGUGCUACUUUCAUCAGGAGGAAAGCUCUAAUUCAACAGCCUUCCAGGUUUAUUUCAUUAUUCUUGCUGUGGGAGGAACAGAAUAGCUGUGAACAUGCCCACAGAUGUGAAUUUGUCCCACCUAAUAGAGACUGCUAGGUCUAACUUAUUUAAUGAACGUUUAGUUGGAGCCAGCUUGAAACUAGCCGACACUAGGUCGAACAAAUAAAACAACACCCAAAGCCACAUAACAGAAACAAAGAGACCCAAAUAACUGCAAUAGAAAAUGACCAGAAAGAGACACAAAUGGACCACAAAGGCACAAACAGAUGCUAUUUCUAUGCAGAGAUAAAACCACACAAAAAAGUACUAGAUGCAAAAUGGCUGCAAUGAGACACAAAACAACCACAAAGAGACUUAAACCAAUAAGAAUGAGAAUCAAAAUGACCAUAGGAAGUUGCAGAGAGGACACACAAAAAAUUCCCGUAUAGAGAUUAGAACUGUCUUUAAGAGAUGCAAAAUGCACACAAACUGAAUGCAAUCACAAUGCAAACAAAGACAACCACAAAGACAUGCAGAACUACUCAAAACAAACAGCAAGAGCUACAAAAUGCUGAAAAACAGUCACAAAAAACUACAAAGACGCACAAAAAAAAAAAAACUAGAAAGAGAUGCAAAAGACAGAAGCGGUCAGCUCCAAACUAACAGACACCAUGUCAAAGAAGUUGUUGGUGCAGCUGCAUUUUGUUCAAACUGACUGACAAACAAUAGCAGAUCAUCUAAAAACUGCAGAUAAUUUAUCUGUGUUGGAUUCCUUAGUAGUUGCUCUCCUGAAUCACCUGUUGAUAUAGUUCUAUUUUCAGAUGUAUUUUUUCCCCUGCACCCAAUAGAUUAGCUGAAUACUAGGUACGAUUUCAGUUGACCAAGAUUGUCUUUUGUUGAUUACAGGCCUGAUAAGCUGAGAAUUGUCAUUUUGCAUCAUGGCGGUCAUUUAGACUUUAGUAAAAUGCAGAAAGUGGAGCAGACGUCAUGAAUUUUUCAUUCCAGUGUGGAAUUUAAAGACAACACAAAGUGAAUUUAUGCAUAAAACUGUUGCACAAUUAUAUAAAACAACAAAAAAUCAGGACAAAUGGACACAAAACAACUACACUGAAACAAAAAUGACCACAAAGAGAUGCAAAACAGCCAUGAAGUGACCAAAACUGAUUACAAAAACACACAAAUGAAGCUGCAAAGAAACACAGAAUGACUAUAAAAACACAAAACAUCCACAAAAUGACACAAAACAACCACAAAGAGAAACAAAAUAAUUGCAAAAACAUACAAAUCAAACUGCGCACAAAAUAAUUACAGAGACACAAAAUGACCAUAAAGAACAUUUUGUUCUUUGUGGUCUGUUGGGAGGAAAUAGAGUCAGAGCUUCAUGGUUGGACUGCUGCAAAGUAACGAAGUAGAAGACAAAGAAGAAGAAGAAGACGAAGUAGAAGAAGAAGACAAAGAAGAAGAAAAAGAAGACGAAGUAGAAGAAGAAGACAAAGAAGAAGAAAAAGAAGACAAAGAAGAAGACGAAGAAGAAGAAGACAAAGAAGACAAAGAAGAUGAAGAAGAUGAAGAAGAAGAAGACAAAGAAGACGAAGAUGAAGAAGAAGACAAAGAAGAAGACAAAGAAGAAGACGAAGAAGAAGAAGACAAAGAAGACAAAGAAGACGAAGAAGAAGAAGAUGAAGUCAAAGAAGACAAAGAAGAUGAAGAAGAAGACAAAGACGAAGAAGAAGAAGACAAAGAAGAAGAAGACGUAGAAGAUGAAGAAGACGAAGACGAAGAAGAAGAAGAAGAGAACUCCUGAAACCCAUAACACACUUUAAUUGGUAAUUACCUCACAUAUGUUGUUUUAUAUGUCAAACAUUUACUGAAGUACCUCACUGAAGGUGCCGUUUCCUCGUCCAAACAGCGGCUCGGUGAAGUUGAGGAGCUCGGAGCACCAGGGUGAGCUGAAGCCGGCGGGAUACGAGAUGAAACAGGAACAUGGAAGCACGUCUGGACUCGACAGGUUCAGACUCUGGAUGUAGGAGUUCUUCAGCCAAUCACUGGAGCCCCUCAUCCCACAGCAGUUCCCCUGCAAAUCAGUCACAGUCAUUCAGUGUGGUUAGUUGACACUCAGAUUUAAAAAGGAUCAUUGUGGGAAUAGAACCAGCAACCGUUCAACAACAGAGACUCACAUAGUGCUGCACGUUGUCCAGCAGUGUGUCGACAUGGUUGCUGCUGUUUCCGUACUCAAAGAUGACCUGAUCCACGGCUGCAGUCAGACUCCGUUCAAUCUGGAAACAACAAACAUUUGUAACAGCUGAUAAUCCAGCUGCAGAUUUACAGCAUCUUCAUAUACAUCUACAGUCUAAAAAAAAAGAAGGUACAAAUAAUAAGAAGAAAGUAACAACUGGAUCUUUAAAAUCACCAAAACCCCCAAGAAUAUCACUUUACUGGGACAUUUGAGAAGCCACUUCCCAUUUUAUUUGCUGUUAGUCAUCUAUGGAAUUCUGGUUCAGACCCAAUGUUAUUUUUAUUAUAUAUUUAAUUCAUUUAAAUAUUAAGGUUAAGACCCUACAAUAUGCAUUUAUUUAAAUUUUUAGAGUAAAGAUUCUACAACAUUAGUUAUUUUAUCAUUUACCAAAUUUAAAUAUUCAAAGCAAGACCUGACAAUAUUAUAUAAAACUUUACCUAUCCUAUUAGGAGGUAAAAUCUAGUGUAUAUGGGCCCAAACCCAAAUGUAAAAAGGGAUGAAUGUUGUAAAUAAGCCAUAACUGAUACCUUUUUAUCAAUUAGGUUGUUAUCCAAUUUUGAAAGAAAUAGAUUGGAUCUUAUUUGUUGAUGUUAUCGUAAAACUUGUAACAAAACAUGGCAAAAACAGGAUAGAGAUGUAGAAAAUAAAUUGAAUCAUAUAAUUAAGCACCCAGUGUGCAGAGGAUUUUAAAAAUACAUUUUCAAGUUGUGCUCACCUUCUCUCUGUUAAGGAUCAGCAGCAGUGUGACGAACAUCUGACCCAGGACCAGGACGAUGAGGAAGCCGAUGUACUGAAGAGGAAGAACAGAGUUCAGUCGCACCUGCAAUCAUUUCUUCUGAUAAGCUGCACAAGCUCUGGACUUCUCUUUGAAUGCUGUACUGUUCCUUUGGCAAAAAUCUGGAGUAAAGCAACGUUACCAGAGGAGAGGAUGUUCAGGAAGCUUCCACUGUCAAACAGGAUCCAGACUCCACAUCCGGCUACAAUCAGACCCAGAACCUGCAGACGUCAAAGUGUAAUCGUGAUGCUGCUCUCAGUCCUGUGGUUCAGCUGAAUGGCCAGCAGAAGGCGCUGUUUGACCUCAGCUAUUCAGGUAGAACUUUUCGUUUUUAUUCUGUGCUGCUGUUCUUUGAAAUUUUAUUCAUACUGUACUCUCUAAACCACAAAAACCGCCCGUGGAUUUUAAAAAGUGCUAAAUUGACAUUAUUUAUUGGCCCCAGAUUGUUGGAUUUUACACUUUCUUUUAAUGAUUAUUCACAUUGUCAUACUCCAAGGAGACAUUUCUCAGUUCUCUCUCAUUUAGGUGUAGGACUUUAUACUGAGGGGAAAAGGAUUUUUUUACUGACACAUAUUUCUUAAAAGCUGUUAGUUUUCAAUUUUUUGUUUUUCAUUUUGUAUAUAUAGAUACAAGUCUAUAGAUAAGGGUUGUCUAGCAUCAAAAGUUUAAAUUCUAGUUUUAUUUAUUACUAAUUUAAAAUAUUCUGAUAUAGCUUAGGAAACUCCUCUAAUGAUAAACUUCAUUUAUUUGAAUAAAUUUAAACCUUUUACCUUUUUGUCAAUCACAAAAAGAGUGCUUGUGCACUCAGAACUAAACAUCUGGUAAAAACUGCACAGAUUUUAGUCUCAAACAAACAGCUGAAAAUCUGACUUUGUUCCUGUGUGU